Molecule: ribosomal RNA, 266 nt
Filed under: uncultured bacterium
Lineage: Bacteria
Description: partial 16S ribosomal RNA
Rfam family: Bacterial small subunit ribosomal RNA
Source: RNAcentral
CGACCGGCGCACGGGUGAGUAACACGUAUGCAACCUGGCCGUCACAGGUGGAUAACCGGAAGAAAUUCCGACUAAUACAGCAUAACACUCCUGAGGGACAUCCCUUGGGAGUCAAAGGAGGCAACUCCGGUGACGGAUGGGCAUGCGGCGCAUUAGGUAGUUGGUAGGGUAACGGCCUACCGAGCCGACGAUGCGUAGGGGUUCUGAGAGGAAGGUCCCCCACAUUGGAACUGAGACACGGUCCAAACUCCUACGGAAGGCAGCAG